GGGCUGUAGCCAAAUUAAUAAAACAAGAGGUUUACUGGCCGGUUGUUGUGAGGUUUCAUCUCUUUAAUCGACAUACCUGCUUACCGAACUUCUCACAAAC
Molecule: small nucleolar RNA, 100 nt
Organism: Papaver somniferum (opium poppy)
Lineage: Eukaryota; Viridiplantae; Streptophyta; Magnoliopsida; Ranunculales; Papaveraceae
Product: small nucleolar RNA snoR109
Exons: 1
Source: RefSeq, a predicted model, not a curated record